AGAGUUUGAUCAUGGCUCAGGAUGAACGCUGGCGGCGUGCCUAACACGUGCAAGUCGAGCGAUUCUCUUCGGAGAAGAGCGGCGGACGGGUGAGUAACGCGUGGGUAACCUGCCCUGUGCACACGGAUAACAUACCGAAAGGUAUGCUAAUACGAGAUAAUAUGCUUUUAUCGCAUGGUAGAAGUAUCAAAGCUUUUGCGGUACAGGAUGGACCCGCGUCUGAUUGGCUAGUUGGUAAGGUAACGGCUUACCAAGGCGACGAUCAGUAGCCGACCUGAGAGGGUGAUCGGCCACAUUGGAACUGAGACACGGUCCAAACUCCUACGGGAGGCAGCAGUGGGGAAUAUUGCACAAUGGGCGAAAGCCUGAUGCAGCAACGCCGCGUGAGCGAUGAAGGCCUUCGGGUCGUAAAGCUCUGUCCUCAAGGAAGAUAAUGACGGUACUUGAGGAGGAAGCCCCGGCUAACUACGUGCCAGCAGCCGCGGUAAUACGUAGGGGGCUAGCGUUAUCCGGAAUUACUGGGCGUAAAGGGUGCGUAGGUGGUUUCUUAAGUCAGAGGUGAAAGGCUACGGCUCAACCGUAGUAAGCCUUUGAAACUGGGAAACUUGAGUGCAGGAGAGGAGAGUGGAAUUCCUAGUGUAGCGGUGAAAUGCGUAGAUAUUAGGAGGAAUACCAGUUGCGAAGGCGGCUCUCUGGACUGUAACUGACACUGAGGCACGAAAGCGUGGGGAGCAAACAGGAUUAGAUACCCUGGUAGUCCACGCCGUAAACGAUGAGUACUAGCUGUCGGAGGUUACCCCCUUCGGUGGCGCAGCUAACGCAUUAAGUACUCCGCCUGGGAAGUACGCUCGCAAGAGUGAAACUCAAAGGAAUUGACGG
Molecule: ribosomal RNA, 879 nt
Filed under: uncultured bacterium
Lineage: Bacteria
Description: bacterial SSU rRNA
Rfam family: Bacterial small subunit ribosomal RNA
Source: RNAcentral